Molecule: long non-coding RNA, 3628 nt
Filed under: Taeniopygia guttata (zebra finch)
Lineage: Eukaryota; Metazoa; Chordata; Aves; Passeriformes; Estrildidae
Description: lncRNA (ENSTGUG00000028674.1)
Source: RNAcentral
AAUUACCUUAUGUUCUUGAAAUCUAUCUGGUACUUCCCAAGAUUAAUCUCUGAGGAGUUGUUGGCAGUGUUUGUUUUCAUGCUGGAAAUAUGAACAUAUUUAACAGUUGUGUAAUAGCAGUGAUCCCUUUAAACAAGUUUCAGAAGUCCCCCGUGGAGUGGUCACAGAAUUGCAGGACCAGGUUGGAUCUAGGCUGGAAAAGCUCUCCCAGGCCAUCGACUCCAUCCUGUGCCCGAUCCCCACCUUGUCACCAGCCCAGAGCACUGCGUGCCUGUCCUGGUUUGACAGUGCCAUGUCCAGGCCUUCCUUGAACACCUCCAGGGAUGGGGACUCCACCACCUCCCUGGGCAGCCCCUUCCAGUGUUUAAUAACCUUUUCUGUGAAGAAAUUCUCUCAGCCCCUUCUUUUGGGUGUUGGUGUCAGUGGGGUUGUUCUAGUGGUGCUUUUGACCCAGGGUAAAUGUCCAUCUCCAUGGUCAGGUUUGAAGAUGUAUUUAUGUUUGAAGACUUAUUUAUCUUUAAGGGCAGUGUAGAAUUUUUCAUCUAUGCUUUUAUUUGUAUUCAAAGAACAGUCUCUAAAUAUGUUGUGGCAAAUGUGUAUUUUUUUAUAAAAAUACCCACCUGUAAAUAUUGAUUACCAUGACUUCUUUGCACCAAAUUACAGUGUGCCUGUGCCAGGGCAUGAGUCACCUGCCGCCCCACAGUUGUCACCCAGGAGUCUGACACUUGUGUAUCUUUUUAUAGGUUUGACUUAAACAUAAUGACUUACUCAUUUCCCUCCAUUCCUCUUACAGAAAUUCAGUCUCAAGACAUCUCAAAAGUCAUGUGUGGAUUGUUGAGGCUUUUAAAAAGGGACAGCCUGUUCUUCCUGGAGAGAAAUCAGAGGUGUUGGGUUUGAGUGGUCUCUGAUGGGACUGGAAAAAUAGGCAUAAGUGAUUCCACAUGAUCCAUGUUUGUUCCCCUGCGAGCAAUGGCCCUACCUUGCCAUGUCAUUGUGUGCAGGUACCUGUGAGGAGUUGUGUCUUCUCACAGUAGUAAGAACUGAUGGUUGGUGUAGGAGCUCUGCUGUGGUGCAGGUCUGAUCUUCAGCUGCCCAUGAUUUACUGAAGGCUUCUCUGCUGAUGUAUGAUGUGCUGCUCUGCUACACUAUUUACAAUUAUCUUAUACUGGGUUGAAUGAAACACUCAUUUCCUUUCAGAGUGUGUUUGGUUUCUGUGAGUGCUCAGGGGUGAGCUCAAAGGGCUUAUUUUGGCUCAACAAAAUGUGCAGGAGAUUGUCUGCCUUCCUUGCUGGCCCCACGUCAUGAUUUUUCUUCCUUCUUCUUUAUUGAGGAAGAGAAGUCUUUAUUGGUGAGCCAGCAUGGCCUGUGAGGGAUGGGGAGACAGAGCUGGGAUUUUGGAGAUCUGACUGUUAUCCCACAGUAAUUAACUGUGUGCCCAGACAGGUCAUUUAAUGCCCCAUUCCUUCAUUUCUUCUCUGGCUUUUCUGUGCAGACUCCUCCAUCAGGUGAAUGUUUCUGCUGGAACUGUGGAGUUCAAUCAGUGCUGGGACUGCAGAGCUCAGUCCAUGCUGGGAUUCCCAAGCAGAACUGGAACUAAGUCACUGAAUGGAAAAGUGGGUUUGUUUGCUUUCUUUAAUGAUAGUAAUCACUCAGGUGCUGGUGUCUUAUCCUGUAUUCUCUUCUGAUUUACUGAAAUAAUUUGUCCUGAAGUUUUGAUGCUAUUGAGCCCUCAUGUCCAUGGAGAAUAGAUGCUGGAGAUCUAUUUAAAAUAACUGGUAAUGGAUGUCUUAGAAAUCCUGUCCCUGUUCCCCAUAAAGACUGGGGGGUAAGCCUUGAGGCAAGGUUCAGAUGGUGCUUUUCAGGAAAAGCUUGUAUUUAGCAGCUUAUUUUGGAUUCCUUCUCUUUAAUCUGUGAAGAAUUUGAUUUAUACCAGCAGCUGUUCCUUGUGAAAUCAUGAAAGUGAGUUUGUGAACCAGAAGAGAGGGUGGCCUGACCAGCGAGGUGGCUUUAGGGGAAUGUUACUUUCCCAUAUUUAGGAUAUUACAAAGCAUACAAACAAGUGUUCUCUUUAGCUUCUGGGGCUGGGUUUGUCUGCAGUCUUUUUUUCCCCUGAAGAGCAGCAUCCUCUCAAGCACUGUUCACAAGCCUGUAACUCCAAGCAGUCACUGAGAUGUGUGUUUAAAAGUCUAUGCAUGGCCAACUGCAGCAAGGCAGGCAACAAUGGAGCAUCCUUAUGGAUCCUUUAUCUUGUAGGCAGGUCUUGAAUCAUGACAUGGCAGCUUCAGGUUGUUUACCUGAGCUCUGGUGAUUGAAGCUGUUACCAUUAAAUCUGUGAUAACCCCUUGAGGGGUGUGUUGAUUUGGCAGGGCCUGGUGUUUUGGUAAUGGCAGGGGAGGAAACCAUGGGGGGGCACAAGGGUGGCUUCUGUGGGAAGCUGCUAGGAGCUCCCACCAUGUCCAGCAGAGCCAAUCUCUCCAAUCUCUGAUGGCUCUGAGGAUGGACAUGCUGCUGGCCCAAUUUAGAGAGGUUGGUAACGCCUUGGGGAUGACAUACUUCAGAAGAAAAUCAAAACAGCAUGUGCACAGCUUUCUCUGAGGGGUGGGGAGGUGCUGUGGCCACCAGCGCGGCCUGCAGGAGCCGUGCCUGCCUGGCCGCCCUAGCCGGCCGUGUUGCGGCACUGGGCAGGGCCGGCGCUUCUCCUUCCCGGCGCUUCUCCUUCCCGGCGCUUCUCCUUCCCGGCGCUUCUCCUUCCCGGCGCUUCUCCUUCCCGGCGCUUCUCCUUCCCGGCGCUUCUCCUUCCCGGCGCUUCUCCUUCCCGGCGCUUCUCCUUCCCGGCGCUUCUCCUUCCCGCUCCCGCGCGAGGAGAGGCGUUGAACAGCGCCAGCGCCAUGGCCGCUGCUGUCUGUGCCAUGGUGCUGGGGCCGUGUGGCCAACAGUGAAAACGUGGCGGGUGACUGCCCUAUGCAGAACCUGGAUGAAAUCAACCUCUUGGUGCUGUGGGAUCUGCAAGAAUCUUUGAAUUAGUGGAACUGGCAAUGGUACUUACGAGCAGCAGUUUUUCUUAUGGAAGAGAGGACAUGUGAGGGAGACAACAUGGCGGCACCAAGGUCAGUGGAAAAAGAGGGGGAGGAAUUGCUGCAAAGCGCCAGAGCCGAGAUUCCUCUGGAGGCCAUGGUGAGGGCUAUGGUGAAACAAACUCUGCCUUAUAAUGCGUGAGGUCCACAGGGGAUGCAGAGAUCCACUCGCAGCCCGUGGGAAAAGUGCUCCCAAUGGAGCGAGUGGAUGCAGGAGAACACUGUGAUCCAGUGGGAGACCCAAACGAAGAGAGAAGGUUCCUGCUUCCAGAAAUAGACAGAGAAGGCCCUUACAUCCAAACUAAAGGAGCCUAGCCUUAAAAGACUACAGCGUGUGGAUGAGUGACAUUUUGGGAAGAUUGUAUGCCCGUGGGAGGGGAGGAGACUUCCUGAGCGAACAGGAGAUCUCGAGUGAUGAACUGACCAAAACCCCCAUGUGCUGUCUCCCUGUGCUGUCAGUGGGAAAGAGGUCAGAGCUAGGAAAAAAAAAGGAUGUUUUAAAGGCUUAUUUUGCUUCUCAUUAUCCUCCUCUAUUUCUGUUAAUAAUAAAUUUA